UCCCUGGUGGUCCAAUGGCUAAGACUCUGCCCUCCUGAUGCAGUGGGCCCGGGUUCGAUCCCUGGACAGGGAA
This 73-nucleotide transfer RNA is filed under the name Bos indicus (zebu cattle). It matches the Rfam family "tRNA". Rfam says of the family: Transfer RNA (tRNA) molecules are approximately 80 nucleotides in length. Their secondary structure includes four short double-helical elements and three loops (D, anti-codon, and T loops). Further hydrogen bonds mediate the characteristic L-shaped molecular structure. tRNAs have two regions of fundamental functional importance: the anti-codon, which is responsible for specific mRNA codon recognition, and the 3' end, to which the tRNAs corresponding amino acid is attached (by aminoacyl-tRNA synthetases). tRNAs cope with the degeneracy of the genetic code in two manners: having more than one tRNA (with a specific anti-codon) for a particular amino acid; and 'wobble' base-pairing, i.e. permitting non-standard base-pairing at the 3rd anti-codon position. Lineage: Eukaryota; Metazoa; Chordata; Mammalia; Artiodactyla; Bovidae. RNAcentral also lists the same sequence under 3 other names. The record is from Rfam by way of RNAcentral.